UACGUAGGGGGCUAGCGUUGUCCGGAAUCAUUGGGCGUAAAGCGCGCGUAGGCGGCCCAGUAAGUCCGUUGUAAAAGUCAAAGGCUCAACCUUUGAAAGCCGAUGGAUACUGCUGGGCUAGAGUCCGGAAGAGGCGAGUGGAAUUCCUGGUGUAGCGGUGGAAUGCGCAGAUAUCAGGAGGAACACCGAUAGCGAAGGCAGCUCGCUGGGACGGUACUGACGCUGAUGCGCGAAAGCGUGGGGAGCGAUCCGG
This 253-nucleotide ribosomal RNA is filed under the name uncultured bacterium. Its description in RNAcentral is "partial 16S ribosomal RNA". It matches the Rfam family "Bacterial small subunit ribosomal RNA", at positions 524 to 776 of the family's 1533-position model. The record is from RNAcentral.